AUCAGGGAAAGGGAAAUCUGUAAACACUGGCCGUUGAAGAAUACGGUUUCUGAGAAUUUCCACUCUGAAUUCACAUUCCGUUCAGUGUUAUCGCCACCCUGUGGAUUUCUUGGCUACCUCGCUGGCUUUGAGCACAACCCAGGAAGAAGUUUGAAACCAAGAAAAUGGUGGUUGGGAAGACCAGGAUGCGCAAUGGCAAGUUGAGGGCAAGCGGGGUACGUGUCCUGAAUUUAUAGAAUCUUUUGACACAAAGCAAGAGAGCCACAGUCAAGACUCAAGUCAAAAGAAAUUUAGACCCCAUCUGGGCAAACAGGCCUCUAAGCAACAAUCUAAGAUUUCCACCUAUUGUUCUGGCAUUCCUUGUAUAAAUGAUUAUGACUGCAGAGAUCUUAGGAAGUGCUGUGGUACCUUUAGAUGUGGCCUGAGGUGCAUACAUCCUCUUAUGAUUGGCCCUGUAUUUUUCAAUUCACCUCCACAAUCCAAGGCAUAAAUAUUGGAUGGAGAAAUGGAUUCAGAUGGAGGCAUCAUUGAGCUUAUUCUUGACUCAUCUCAGUCCAAACAUUACUCUGUCAAUCGUUGUUCUUAAAAUCUGCAUAUUAAAAGCUCAGCAUCAACUAUU
Long non-coding RNA from Homo sapiens (human), 619 nucleotides. Ensembl annotates it as long intergenic non-protein coding RNA 2366. The record is from Ensembl. NCBI's taxonomy places the organism in Eukaryota, Metazoa, Chordata, Mammalia, Primates, Hominidae.